RNAcentral lists this long non-coding RNA (663 nucleotides) under Nicotiana benthamiana. Its description in RNAcentral is "long non-coding RNA (NBEN_LNC037365)". The record is from RNAcentral. Lineage: Eukaryota; Viridiplantae; Streptophyta; Magnoliopsida; Solanales; Solanaceae.
GCAAGCAGACAUGUAUGCAUGGAAGCAACACUCAAAGAAGAUAUUCACUGAGACAGGGAAGGAAAAUGGAGCAAAUAAGUAGAGUGCGGAUAAGUGAAGGGAACAGACAACAUGUUGGGCAGAAGUUAUCAGACCUAGUUAAAACAAAACUUUAGCUCUUACUGUACUAAACCCCAAAAUAUAAUCAACCUCAUGGAGAGGUUUCAGAACUAUUAAGCAUCCAAACAAUAGUACACAUGCAUUGAGACAGGGAGAGGGGAAUAAGGGAAAGACAUGCUAAUUUGAACUAAUAGAUCAGUGAAUAACAUGCUAAUGACAAAAAUAGCAACAAAACCAUUGAUAAAAGCACACAAGGAAUAAUAUGAAUUGCAGAAUUAAUAUGAACAUGUUGUUUUGGAGAGUGUAUCUCAAAUGGGGAAAAUACCAGUUGCAAAAAUAGGAUAUGAUAGCAAUGUAAUAGUGAACGAAGGGAGAUAAAAGUGUGCAAAGGAUGAGGGCAGCAAUACAGGAGUAGUAGCAGCAGGAAGAUAAUAGCAGCAAUAUGAGAAUAGCAGCAGUAAUGUGGGAAUAGUAGUAGCAACAGACCCAAAUAGAACCCAGCAAUGCAAAGUAACCAACCAAAUUACUCAAUCUUGGCUGUUAGCCAAUUAAGUGUUCAAAGAA